RNAcentral lists this unclassified non-coding RNA (240 nucleotides) under soil metagenome. Its description in RNAcentral is "partial contains 5.8S ribosomal RNA, internal transcribed spacer 2, and large subunit ribosomal RNA". The record is from RNAcentral.
AACAUCGCGCACCUGCGGGAACCUGCGGAAGGAUCAUUAUCGAGUGUAAUCUACCCCUUUAAAAAAGGGUAGUACCUCCCGUCCUUUGCAGGCCUCUUUUUUUAUUAGGGGGGGCUUUUUAAGACUUUCUGCUUCGGCGGGGUUACUCCCGCCGGAACACCCUCAAAAAAUUCUCGAAAAAAAUCGUUCAGUCCGAGAACUUUUUAAAAAUAAAAUAAAACUUUCAGCAAUGGAUCUCAG